AGAGUUUGAUCAUGGCUCAGGAUGAACGCUAGCUACAGGCUUAACACAUGCAAGUCGAGGGGGAACGACAUCGAAAGCUUGCUUUUGAUGGGCGUCGACCGGCGCACGGGUGAGUAAUGCGUAUCCAACCUGCCCACCACUUGGGGAUAACCUUGCGAAAGUAAGACUAAUACCCAAUGACGUCUCUAGAAGACAUCUGAAAGAGAUUAAAGAUUUAUCGGUGAUGGAUGGGGAUGCGUCUGAUUAGCUUGUUGGCGGGGUAACGGCCACCAAGGCGACGAUCAGUAGGGGUUCUGAGAGGAAGGUCCCCCACAUUGGAACUGAGACACGGUCCAAACUUCUACGGGAGGCA
RNAcentral lists this ribosomal RNA (352 nucleotides) under uncultured bacterium. RNAcentral's name for it is "bacterial SSU rRNA". It matches the Rfam family "Bacterial small subunit ribosomal RNA", at positions 8 to 350 of the family's 1533-position model. The record is from RNAcentral.